CCUACGGGAGGCAGCAGUGAGGAAUAUUGCACAAUGGGCGAAAGCCUGAUGCAGCAACGCCGCGUGAGGGACGAAGGCCUUCGGGUCGUAAACCUCUUCUCUGGGGGACGAGAUCAGGACGGUACCUCAGGAAUAAGUCUCGGCUAACUACGUGCCAGCAGCCGCGGUAAAACGUAGGAGGCGAGCGUUAUCCGGAUUUACUGGGCGUAAAGCGCACGCAGGCGGUUCCGUUAGUCGGACGUGAAAGCUCCUGGCUUAACUGGGAGAGGCCUUUCGAUACUGCGGGACUCGAGGUUGGGAGAGGAGAGUGGAAUUCCCGGUGUAGUGGUGGAAUGCGUAGAGAUCGGGAGGAACACCUGUGGCGAAAGCGGCACUCUGGCCCACACCUGACGCUGAGGUGCGAAAGCGUGGGUAGCAAACAGGAUUAGAUACCCUGGUAGUCCACGCUGUAAACGAUGUCAACUAGGUGUCGGUGGUUUUACACCAUCGGUGCCGUAGCAAACGCGUUAAGUUGACCGCCUGGGGACUACGGCCGCAAGGCUAAAACUCAAAGGAAUUGACGG
RNAcentral lists this ribosomal RNA (563 nucleotides) under uncultured bacterium. RNAcentral describes it as "bacterial SSU rRNA". It matches the Rfam family "Bacterial small subunit ribosomal RNA", at positions 338 to 916 of the family's 1533-position model. The record is from RNAcentral.